AGCCAACGCUGGCGGCAGGCUUAACACAUGCCAGUCGAACGGGCAUAGCAAUAUGUCCGUGGCAGACGGGUGCGUAACGCGUGGGAACGUACCUUUUGGUUCGGAACAACACAGGGAAACUUGUGCUAAUACCGGAUAAGCCCUUACGGGGAAAGAUUUAUCGCCGAAAGAUCGGCCCGCGUCUGAUUAGCUAGUUGGUAGGGUAAUGGCCUACCCAGGCGACGAUCAGUAGCUGGUCUGAGAGGAUGAUCAGCCACAUUGGGACUGAGACACGGCCCAAACUCCUACGGGAGGCAGCAGUGGGGAAUAGUGGACAAUGGGCGAAAGCCUGAUCCAGCCAUGCCGAGUGAGUGAUGAAGGCCCUAGGGUUGUAAAGCUCUUUUGUGCGGGAAGAUAAUGACGGUACCGCAAGAAUAAGCCCCGGCUAACUUCGUG
Molecule: ribosomal RNA, 435 nt
Filed under: uncultured bacterium
Lineage: Bacteria
Description: partial 16S ribosomal RNA
Rfam family: Bacterial small subunit ribosomal RNA
Source: RNAcentral